CAGUCGAGCGAAAGACGAGGAGCUUGCUCCUCUGACGUUAGCCGCUGACGGGUGAGUAACACGUGGAUAACCUACCUAUAAGACUGGGAUAACUUCGGGAAACCGGAGCUAAUACCGGAUAAUAUAUUGAACCGCAUGGUUCAAUAGUGAAAGACGGUUUUGCUGUCACUUAUAGAUGGAUCCGCGCCGCAUUAGCUAGUUGGUAAGGUAACGGCUUACCAAGGCAACGAUGCGUAGCCGACCUGAGAGGGUGAUCGGCCACACUGGAACUGAGACACGGUCCAGACUCCUACGGGAGGCAGCAGUAGGGAACCUUCCGCAAUGGGCGAAAGCCUGACGGAGCAACGCCGCGUGAGUGAUGAAGGUCUUCGGAUCGUAAAACUCUGUUAUUAGGGAAGAACAAAUGUGUAAGUAACUAUGCACGUCUUGACGGUACCUAAUCAGAAAGCCACGGCUAACUACGUGCCAGCAGCCGCGGUAAUACGUAGGUGGCAAGCGUUAUCCGGAAUUAUUGGGCGUAAAGCGCGCGUAGGCGGUUUUUUAAGUCUGAUGUGAAAGCCCACGGCUCAACCGUGGAGGGUCAUUGGAAACUGGAAAACUUGAGUGCAGAAGAGGAAAGUGGAAUUCCAUGUGUAGCGGUGAAAUGCGUAGAGAUCUGGAGGAAUACCGGUGGCGAAGGCGGCCCCCUGGACAAAGACUG
RNAcentral lists this ribosomal RNA (700 nucleotides) under uncultured bacterium. RNAcentral's name for it is "bacterial SSU rRNA". It matches the Rfam family "Bacterial small subunit ribosomal RNA", at positions 59 to 742 of the family's 1533-position model. The record is from RNAcentral.